Anas platyrhynchos (mallard) is the source of this 385-nucleotide long non-coding RNA. RefSeq lists it as uncharacterized. The record is from RefSeq and is a predicted model, not a curated record. NCBI's taxonomy places the organism in Eukaryota, Metazoa, Chordata, Aves, Anseriformes, Anatidae.
AGGAAGGAGGCCGCGCCCCCGGCCCCCCUUCUUCACCUCCCCCCCUCCGCCCCCGAUACAGCUCCGCGGGCGCGGAAGCACCUGCGCAUCCUUUAUAAGGCCCCCCCCCCUAAACCCGGCGCUGCGUGGCGCACGAGAAGCAUGGCCAAGCUGGAGAAGAGGGGACCGUCCCCCAGUCAAGUCACACGCAUGGGCCACACACCUCUUCCCAAAGGAUUUGCAGCACUGCCUGGAAGUUUGUCCAGGAAGAACCCACUUGCCCCAUUAGCUGGAAGGCUGCACACAUCACUUGACUGCCCAAAAGGUCUCUCCUCACUCCCCACUUUUGGUUCACAAUCUUAAAAAUAAAUAAAUAAAUAAAUAAAAGAAAAAUCACAUAACUGCA